UAGCUUGUGUUCAUCUUGUGUGAUUUGUACGUUUAACCGUCGUUGAUUUGUUCUCAUAAUCCGUUUUGGAGUGCUUGUAUUGUGCUUAGUUUUCUUCCGAUUCUUCAGAUGCAACGUCGUAUUUAGUUUACAGUUGUGUCGAUAAGAGAUAGAUCUACCUCUUUUGAUGCGAAAAUGAAUUUCGAUUCUGAGUACCGAUGAAUAUU
RNAcentral lists this long non-coding RNA (206 nucleotides) under Lathyrus oleraceus (garden pea). Its description in RNAcentral is "Pisum sativum (pea) long non-coding RNA (PSAT_LNC021038)". The record is from RNAcentral. Lineage: Eukaryota; Viridiplantae; Streptophyta; Magnoliopsida; Fabales; Fabaceae.